CAAAAGGGAAACAGCCCAGAUCGUCAGCUAAGGUCCCAAAGUGUAAGUUAAGUGGGAAAGGAUGUGAGAUUUCUAAGACAACUAGGAUGUUGGCUUAGAAGCAGCCAUUCAUUAAAAGAGUGCGUAAUAGCUCACUAGUCGAGAGAUCUUGCGCCGAAAAUGUAACGGGGCUAAACUUACCACCGAAGCUACGGGCUUGAACUUAGUUCAAGCGGUAGGAGAGCGUCGUAACCGGGCUGAAGUCGUACCGUAAGGAGCGGUGGACUGGUUACGAGUGAGAAUGUUGGCAUCAGUAGCGAGAUGUGGGUGAGAAUCCCACAGGCCGAAAACCUAAGGUUUCCUCAGGAAGGUUCGUCCGCUGAGGGUUAGUCGGGACCUAAGCCGAGGCCGAAAGGCGUAGGUGAUGGACAACUGGUUGAUAUUCCAGUACCACUACCAUCGUUAUUAUCGAUGGCGUGACGCAGGAGGAUAGUGUGUGCUAGCUAUUGGAUGCUAGUCUAAGCGUUUAGGCAGUGAGAGUAGGCAAAUCCGCUCUCAUAAUGCUGAGGCGUGAUGGGGAAGGUUCUACGGAACCGAAGUACAUGAUUCCACGCUGCCAAGAAAAGCGUCUAGAGAGAGAAGUAGUGCCCGUACCGCAAACCGACACAGGUAGGUGAGGAGAGAAUCCUAAGGCCGGCGGAAGAAUUACAGUUAAGGAACUCGGCAAAUUGACCCCGUAAGUUCGCGAGAAGGGGUGCCUACGAGAGUAGGCCGCAGAGAAUAGGCCCAAGCAACUGUUUAGCAAAAACACAGGUCUCUGCUAAAGCGUAAGCUGAUGUAUAGGGGCUGACGCCUGCCCGGUGCUGGAAGGUUAAGGGGAACACUUAGCGCAAGCGAAGGUGUGAACUUAAGCCCCAGUAAACGGCGGCCGUAACUAUAACGGUCCUAAGGUAGCGAAAUUCCUUGUCAGGUAAGUUCUGACCCGCACGAAUGGCGUAAUGACUUGGGCACUGUCUCAACUGUAAAUCCGGCGAAGUUGUAGUGCGAGUGAAGAUGCUCGCUACCCGCGAUUGGACGGAAAGACCCCGUAGAGCUUUACUGUAGCUUAGCAUUGAGUUUUGGUAUUGUCUGUACAGGAUAGGUGGGAGACUAGGAAACCAGGGCGUCAGCCUUGGUGGAGUCAACCUUGGGAUACCACCCUGACAGUACUGAAAUUCUAACUGGCGGCCAUGAAUCUGGUCACAGGACAUUGUUAGGUGGGCAGUUUGACUGGGGCGGUCGCCUCCUAAAAAGUAACGGAGGCGCCCAAAGGUUCCCUCAGAACGGUCGGAAAUCGUUCGAAGAGUGCAAAGGCAGAAGGGAGCCUGACUGCGACACCCACAAGUGGAGCAGGGACGAAAGUCGGGCUUAGUGAUCCGGUGGUACCUCGUGGGAGGGCCAUCGCUCAACGGAUAAAAGCUACCUCGGGGAUAACAGGCUGAUCUCCCCCAAGAGUCCACAUCGACGGGGAGGUUUGGCACCUCGAUGUCGGCUCGUCGCAUCCUGGGGCUGAAGUAGGUCCCAAGGGUUGGGCUGUUCGCCCAUUAAAGCGGCACGCGAGCUGGGUUCAGAACGUCGUGAGACAGUUCGGUCCCUAUCCGUCGCGGGCGUAGGAAAUUUGAGAGGAGCUGUCCUUAGUACGAGAGGACCGGGAUGGACUGACCUCUGGUGUACCAGUUGUUCCGCCAGGAGCACAGCUGGGUAGCUAAGUCGGGAAGGGAUAAACGCUGAAAGCAUCUAAGCGUGAAGCCCACCUCAAGAUGAGAUUUCCCAUAGCAUAAGCUAGUAAGACCCCUUGAAGAACACGAGGUUGAUAGGUCAGAGGUGUAAGUGCAGUAAUGUAUGUAGCUGACUGAUACUAAUAGGUCGAGGGCUUGACCAA
This 1900-nucleotide ribosomal RNA is filed under the name human gut metagenome. Its description in RNAcentral is "bacterial LSU rRNA". It matches the Rfam family "Bacterial large subunit ribosomal RNA", at positions 1012 to 2925 of the family's 2925-position model. The record is from RNAcentral.